Molecule: long non-coding RNA, 608 nt
Organism: Diceros bicornis minor
Lineage: Eukaryota; Metazoa; Chordata; Mammalia; Perissodactyla; Rhinocerotidae
Exons: 3
Source: RefSeq, a predicted model, not a curated record
AACACAAUUAGAAACAUUGGGUAUAUUACCAAGGCUUUUAUUGGGAAUGUUAUAUUAGACAAUGAUGUGGAUGGAAUCAGAUGACCAGACAGCUUUAAGGAGCUAAGGGUGAUUUUAAGGAGCCAAUUCUCCUGGAAAACCGGCCCACAUCUGGCUUAUAGGAUUGACUGCCUUACAGAAACUCCCCUUCAUUAAACACUGAUGGCUGGCAUAAUCCAGCAAAUAUGCUCUACCCCCUGGUCUCAACAGAUGAUUCAGCAGGUCUUUAAUGAAUAAAAGGCUUACAGGUUGAAGCUAGAUGACUUGAUAUAAACAUCAAGGAAACAACCACAACAGGUCAUGUGUGGUCAACCACCUUCUCAGUUGUUGUGUGGGCCGCUCAGAAAGUUCGCCAGAACACCUGAUGCCAUCACCACAGACAUUCAAACUUCAAACCAAGAAAGAAAUUGAAUGCCACUGCUAUCCCCACUCCACCCUCUAAAGAUAUUUUGAGCCCAAUAUCUAGAAAUAUUCUUCACCGACUGCCCUCUGGAAUCAAAAACUGGGUUUUUUAAAUUAAUCUUUUGUUUUUAUUUUACUUUCAUAGAAACUCCCCCUUCUUAAAUACC